RNAcentral lists this ribosomal RNA (491 nucleotides) under uncultured bacterium. Its description in RNAcentral is "bacterial SSU rRNA". It matches the Rfam family "Bacterial small subunit ribosomal RNA", at positions 28 to 513 of the family's 1533-position model. The record is from RNAcentral.
GAUGAACGUUAGCGGCAGGCUUAAUACAUGCAAGUCGUGGGGCAGCAUGAGUAGCAAUACUUGAUGGCGACCGGCAAACGGGUGAGGAACACGUACACAACCUUCCUUCAAGCGGGGAAUAGCCCAGAGAAAUUUGGAUUAAUACCCCAUAAUAUAUUUGAUAAGGCAUCUUAUUAAUAUUAAAGCUUCGGCACUUGAUGAUGGGUGUGCGGCUGAUUAGAUAGUUGGCGGGGUAACGGCCCACCAAGUCUACGAUCAGUAGCUGAUGUGAGAGCAUGAUCAGCCACACGGGCACUGAGACACGGGCCCGACUCCUACGGGAGGCAGCAGUAAGGAAUAUUGGACAAUGGACGAAAGUACUGAUCCAGCCAUGCCGCGUGAAGGAUUAAGGUCCUCUGGAUUGUAAACUUCUUUUAUAUGGGACGAAAAAGGGCAUUCUUGUUCACUUGACGGUACCAUAUGAAUAAGCACCGGCUAACUCCGUGCCAGCA